RNAcentral lists this ribosomal RNA (253 nucleotides) under uncultured bacterium. Its description in RNAcentral is "partial 16S ribosomal RNA". It matches the Rfam family "Bacterial small subunit ribosomal RNA", at positions 524 to 776 of the family's 1533-position model. The record is from RNAcentral.
UACAGAGGGUGCAAGCGUUAAUCGGAAUUACUGGGCGUAAAGCGCACGUAGGCGGUUUUUUAAGUCAGAUGUGAAAGCCCCGGGCUCAACCUGGGAAUUGCAUUUGAAACUGGGGAACUAGAGUGUGUGAGAGGGGGGUAGAAUUCCAAGUGUAGCGGUGAAAUGCGUAUAGAUUUGGAGGAAUACCAGUGGCGAAGGCGGCCCCCUGGCACAACACUGACGCUCAGGUGCGAAAGCGUGGGGAGCAAACAGG